UCUGCUCCAACUUUAGAUUCAUAAUUCUCUCAUGGGUUGUGGGAGCUCACAGCUCCAUCCCCAUACAGGCUGUGGUCUCUCAGGAAGGUAGCAGUGUGAUCUACAAGAUGAGACUGCUGGGUCUUCUCCUGUGCCUGAUGACAAGUCCCCAUGGUGUCUUGUCCCAGGUGCAGCUACAGGAGUCAGAUUCUGGCUUGGUGAAGCCCACACAGACCCUGUCCCUCACCUGCUCAGUCUCUGGAAUCUCCAUCACAACCAGUUAUUACUGUUGGAACUGGAUGCGUCAGCCCCCAGGAAAGAGCCUGGAGUGGAUGGGAUACAUAUGCUACAGUGGUAGUACUGGCUACAACCCGUCCCUCCAGAGCCGCAUCUCCGUCUCCAGAGACACAGGCAAGAACCAGUUCUCCCUGAAGCUGAACUCUGUCACCACAGAAGACACAGCCAUCUAUUACUGUGCAAGAUACACAGUGUUUUGAUGCAAGUGUGAGCCCACACAUAAACCUUCCCGCAGGGAAAAUCACACCCAGCAGGGGGUGCCAUGCACAAGUUGCUCUAGGGAACCAGCUUCACAGGUCUGUCCUGACAGUCUGGAAGGUUUUUUUUAGUAGUCCAAGGACAGAGAUUCUAGGGGCCUUCUAUGUCUCUCAUCCUACAGUGUUAUGUUUUUAUAGAAUCAGGCUUUUACUCUUUUCCCAUCCAUUUCAUUACUGAUUGCACAAUGCAUUUUCAAUAAAGCCCUUUUUCACAACGUAAGUGACUACACAACUCAAGAGAUUUUAGGUACACAAAUAUUUAGUAUUUAUUUAUCUAUGACUGGAAGUCUGGCCUCCACCUUCAGAUGCACCUGCGUGGCAUCUCAUCCUGAAGGGCACUUUCCAUUUCUGUUCAUGCAGAGACUUUUAAUCUAAAUGGCUGGACAUCGCUGUGUGAGUGUUGAUUUGAGUGUUCACCUGUUAUUGGAGCUGUUUGUUUCCCCACCAUUGGAGAUGUAGGGUGAUACCUUGGAGAGCUGUGGUGAAUUCCACUGUGGAGGGGCCUCUCUUGACAUCACAUUGAUAGAGAUCAUCACACUGUCACACAUCCUACAGUCAUAGGGCACUGCCCAAGCAGUGUUUAUUAGAGUCUAGCAUCAGUAGUAGAGAGUUUCAGAAACUAUUGCAGAAUGUCUUAAAUGUUGUGUCUGUUUUUAUGGCAAAGUAAAUCUGCUCUAUUUACAUUA
Molecule: non-coding RNA, 1219 nt
Organism: Cavia porcellus (domestic guinea pig)
Lineage: Eukaryota; Metazoa; Chordata; Mammalia; Rodentia; Caviidae
Source: the annotation of a RefSeq genome assembly